This 468-nucleotide ribosomal RNA is filed under the name uncultured bacterium. RNAcentral's name for it is "partial 16S ribosomal RNA". It matches the Rfam family "Bacterial small subunit ribosomal RNA", at positions 28 to 507 of the family's 1533-position model. The record is from RNAcentral.
GACGAACGCUGGCGGCGUGCUUAACACAUGCCAGUCGAACGGAAAGGCCCUGCUUUUGUGGGGUGCUCGAGUGGCGAACGGGUGAGUAACACGUGAGUAACCUGCCCUUGACUUUGGGAUAACUUCAGGAAACUGGGGCUAAUACCGGAUAGGAGCUCCUGCUGCAUGGUGGGGGUUGGAAAGUUUCGGCGGUUGGGGAUGGACUCGCGGCUUAUCAGCUUGUUGGUGGGGUAGUGGCUUACCAAGGCUUUGACGGGUAGCCGGCCUGAGAGGGUGACCGGCCACAUUGGGACUGAGAUACGGCCCAGACUCCUACGGGAGGCAGCAGGGGGGAAUAUUGCACAAUGGGCGGAAGCCUGAUGCAGCAACGCCGCGUGCGGGAUGACGGCCUUCGGGUUGUAAACCGCUUUCGCCUGUGACGAAGCGUGAGUGACGGUAAUGGGUGAAGAAGCACCGGCUAACUACGUG